GAUGAACGCUGGCGGCGUGCCUAAUACAUGCAAGUCGAGCGAACAGACGAGGAGCUUGCUCCUCUGACGUUAGCGGCGGACGGGUGAGUAACACGUGGAUAACCUACCUAUAAGACUGGGAUAACUUCGGGAAACCGGAGCUAAUACCGGAUAACAUGUUGAACCGCAUGGUUCAACAGUGAAAGACGGUUUUGCUGUCACUUAUAGAUGGAUCCGCGUCGCAUUAGCUAGUUGGUAAGGUAACGGCUUACCAAGGCAACGAUGCGUAGCCGACCUGAGAGGGUGACCGGCCACACUGGAACUGAGACACGGUCCAGACUCCUACGGGAGGCAGCAGUAGGGAAUCUUCCGCAAUGGGCGAAAGCCUGACGGAGCAACGCCGCGUGAGUGAAGAAGGUCUUCGGAUCGUAAAACUCUGUUAUUAGGGAAGAACAAAUGUGUAAGUAACUAUGCACGUCUUGACGGUACCUAAUAAGAAAGCCACGGCUAACUACGU
RNAcentral lists this ribosomal RNA (496 nucleotides) under uncultured bacterium. RNAcentral's name for it is "partial 16S ribosomal RNA". It matches the Rfam family "Bacterial small subunit ribosomal RNA", at positions 28 to 506 of the family's 1533-position model. The record is from RNAcentral.